This 336-nucleotide unclassified non-coding RNA is filed under the name Hevea brasiliensis (rubber tree). The record is from RNAcentral. Lineage: Eukaryota; Viridiplantae; Streptophyta; Magnoliopsida; Malpighiales; Euphorbiaceae.
GGACUUCGCUAGAACAAUCGAACUAGGCCAUUGUCAAGAUGCUACGAGUAAUGUUGUCGCAGUUCUCACCGACUGGGAGUUGGGAAGCCCUUUGCUUGCGGAAAUGGGCGUCUUGGGUGUGAGGAUUCAUGGCACGGACAGGCGGAGAAACAGAGUAGUACGGUGGAGAAGCCUUGCUUGGAAUGAUGUCAGAAAGAUCUGUCACUCUCAGCUCAUUAUGCAUUCCACUCGGCCUGGCCCAUCUGCUGGGUUUAGGGCACACAAUCCCCUCAUUCCUUACAAGGCACUUCUCCACCAUGACCGCCGUCCUCAGCUUCCGAAGCUCACUCAUCUCCU